This 21-nucleotide non-coding RNA is filed under the name Cricetulus griseus (Chinese hamster). Its record names the gene cgr-miR-298-5p. RNAcentral also lists the same sequence under 1 other name. Lineage: Eukaryota; Metazoa; Chordata; Mammalia; Rodentia; Cricetidae. The record is from miRBase by way of RNAcentral.
GGCAGAGGAGGGCUGUUCUUC